UAGCCAAACCUUUAGUAUCUAAAACUAAAGGUUUAUUAUAAAAAACAAAGAAAGAACAAAAAGAGAGCUGUUAAAUAGUAAAGCAAUCAGAUACAUACAGAGACUUCAAAGUUCAUAUAUCAGAUUCUUAGCAGUGUUGGUGAGUUUGCUGGUUUGAAAGUUCCUCUGGAACACAUCCACAGCUUGGAUGGGUCUUCAGUCCUUUGUUCAGAGUUUCAGUUUGUAGAAAAGGUGCAACUGCCU
Long non-coding RNA from Dermochelys coriacea (leatherback sea turtle), 243 nucleotides. RefSeq lists it as uncharacterized. NCBI's taxonomy places the organism in Eukaryota, Metazoa, Chordata, Testudines, Dermochelyidae. The record is from RefSeq and is a predicted model, not a curated record. The transcript has 3 exons.